Non-coding RNA from Acanthosepion pharaonis, 99 nucleotides. The record is from the annotation of a GenBank genome assembly. Lineage: Eukaryota; Metazoa; Mollusca; Cephalopoda; Sepiida; Sepiidae.
GUUGAAACACCGGAUCUCGUCCGAUUAUCGAAGUUAAGCAACAUCAAGCCUAAUCAGUACCUAAAUGGGUGACCACUUGUGAAUACCAGGUGCAGUAAG